AGCAGCCGCGGUAAUUCCAGCUCCAAUAGCGUAUAUUAAAGUUGUUGCAGUUAAAAAGCUCGUAGUUGAAUUUCGAGACCGGUUUAUUGGUCGUGCUUUUGUACGUACUGGUAUUAUUGGUUUCUCCUUUCUGACGAAUCUUAAUGCCAUUAAUUUGGUGUUUUGGGGAAUCAGGACUGUUACUUUGAGAAAAUUAGAGUGUUUAAAGCAGGCUCACGCUUGAAUACAUUAGCAUGGAAUAACGGAAUAGGACGUUUGAUUCUAUUUUGUUGGUUUCUAGGAUCGACGUAAUGAUUAAUAGGGAUAGUUGGGGGCAUUAGUAUUCAAUUGUCAGAGGUGAAAUUCUUGGAUUUAUUGAAGACUAACUACUGCGAAAGCAUUUGCCAAGGAUGUUUUCAUUAAUCAAGAACGAAAGUUAGGGGAUCGAAGACGAUCAGAUACCGUCGUAGUCUU
Molecule: ribosomal RNA, 453 nt
Filed under: uncultured Glomus
Lineage: Eukaryota; Fungi; Glomeromycota; Glomeromycetes; Glomerales; Glomeraceae
Description: SSU rRNA
Rfam family: Eukaryotic small subunit ribosomal RNA
Source: RNAcentral